Molecule: long non-coding RNA, 3738 nt
Filed under: Canis lupus familiaris (dog)
Lineage: Eukaryota; Metazoa; Chordata; Mammalia; Carnivora; Canidae
Description: lncRNA (ENSCAFG00030017377.1)
Source: RNAcentral
AAAAGAUCAGGCUCUCUUUCUACCUUUGUAAACUUUCAUAAAUCAUAUUUUUAUCUUAUUGUGAGAACUAUAUGGUUUACAGCUUCAGCUUUUCUCUGCUGUUUUGUUUAGUGUUCAGUUGAGAGGAUAAUUGAAAACAAAUUUCCCUCCUUUCUCUUUGAGCUCAGCACACCUCAGAAGUUCUUUCAGAAAUAAUGAGUUUGCAAUGAGCCAGCCUUUAUGCACACAGCAUAAACACUUCAUGGGUUUAGCCACAUGACUUGAUAUGGCCAAAGAGGGUAGCAGUUGCAACAUGCAAGUUCCAAGCCUCCUCCUUAAGAGGCACCCUGUUUUCUCCUUGUCCUCAAACUUUACUAUUAAUAUGAAAAAGACAAGGUGUCCCAGGUAGCCUGCUGGGCCCAGAAUAAUGAGAAAUACGUGGUGCAGACUUGGAUCUGACUCAUGACCAAUGACCAGGCCCAGUUUGGCCCAGCCUGGAUCAGCCCAACUCUGGGCACGUAAGUGAGACAUAAGGGCUUAUUGUUAUGUCAUUGAGAUUUUGUUGUGAAUAGCACAGCAACAGCUUGCUUUUCCUAAUAUCACCAACUAUGGAUAUAGACAGAGUCACAGGACAGAUGCUAUCUCAUUUUUGUUGAUUCUUACACCCACUUUUCCUCCAAAGGCUCAGCUCUAUGCCCUAGGUAUUUCUGAAAACCUCUGGGGAUGGCUCAUGUGUAACCACAAAGGAGCUUCCAUGAAGCUUUGGUGCUUCAGAGACCAUGUGGAGAUAGAGAUGCCACCGGAGCUUCAACUGUUCCAGCUGAUAGUCAUUGGAGUCCUCCAGGCUGAGUACCAGUCACAUGACUGAGCCAGCCUUCCACAGACUCUAGCUCUAGCCACCAUCUGUCUGCAACUACGUGAGAGACACAAAUGCAAACCACCUUGCUGAGCCCUGCUAACUCUCAGGGAGGUGUGGGGUAAAAGGGAAAUAAUUGGUGUUACUUCAAGCUACUAGUUUGGGGUGGCUUUUUAUGCAGAAUACGUAGCUGAGCAACUGCCAGCUUCUUAUUCCACCGGGUGAGAGAAAUGAGGCUCAGCCAUGUGAGCCAAGCUAUUCUUUUCUGUGGAAUUGUCUAAGCUGGGAGGCAUUAUGUUGUUGUGUUGUCAGGGAGAAUGUCUGAUCAUGCUUUCCUUGGUGUCACCAUCAACCUAUGCUGUCUUCCCUGGGGUUCCUUCUUCCUGUCUAAUCUGUAGUUAUCAGUUCACAGGGGUCACUUUGGUCUCUCCCUCUUCCUGAACCUAAGGGCCUUUCUAGUCUAUUGACUUUUUUUUUUUAAGAUUUUAUUUAUUUACCCAUGGGAAACACACACACAGAGAGAGAGGCAGAGACACAGGCAGAGGGAGAAGCAGGCUCCAUGCAGGAAGCCUGAUGUGGGACUCAAUCCUGGGUCUCCAGGAUCAUACCCUGGUCCAAAGGCAGCACUAAACCACUGGGCCACUGGAGCUGCCCCUAGUCUAUUAACUUUUGAAACUGUGUCCCUGAUACACUCCCUCUACUGCUCCACCUAGGGCUUCUGGAAACUCUACAGCACCAUGCCUCUUGAGUGCAAAAGGUCAUUUUUGCUGCUCCUGCCUCACAGUGUGCCACAAGAAAGUCUGUGAGGCUCUCCCAGAUGGGCUUCCAUGCUAGGAUUUUUCAGAUUUUUAGGUUGCUGAUUCUUUCACUACUAUAGGACAUAGUAAGUACUCAGUAUUAUUGAACUAAAAUUCCCAGUCCAAAUCUCCAGUACUUCCUUGGCCUUUUGACUCUCAUUUGUUGAUUUGGGAACUCUGAACCUACCAGAUUGGGACUUGUGCUAAUUCCCUAUGGAUAAAAUACACACAGACCAACUGAUAUUAAGCACAUGUGACACACAGAUACUACCAUUUGAAAACACCACCCAAUUAGAAGUGACUCUGAGCUCACCUGGAAUGAGCUCAGAAUGAGCUCAGAGAGGACUCUGUAUUAGAGUCCUCUCUUCCACAACUGCUGGAAGGACAGAGAAAAUGAGACGGGAAGCAUAUGUUACAGGAAUCCCUUGACCUGGAGCAGGAGGCUUGAUUGACUCCAGUGGAUACUUGUGCAUCAUGGAGUCAGUAUUUCCUACAAAUUUACCAAGGGUUCUCUCUAGGUAUUAAAAGAAAAGCUUUAUUCUUUUCCAGUUGAGUCAGGAGACAUAAUCCAGACUGAUUGUCUGAAGACAGCUGACCUCUCAAGGCCUCUUAGGAGACAUACACCAAGAUGGGCUUUGUGCAAAUAACACCAUGGGAAGAAAAUAGUACCUUUCUGUCUAUUGCUGGUUGGCAUCUGCUUUUCUCUCCUGGAAAGGCUUGUUUCUGCCUAUUUAAAUCACAAAGCAGUUAGUCAUGAAUAGUAUCUAAAUUUGUGUUCAAUGCUGACCACAUUAGUCGUGUUGAAUAAAUGAAAAAUAAGAUUUCAUUUUGGAGCAUUGGUCUAUGUCCUAGAAUUCAAGCAGUUGCUGGCUUUGCUGUAUUCACUGUCCCACUGCCAUUCAUAACAAAAGUGAAACAAUUAAUAUAAUAAUCCCUUUCAAAAUUAUACCUAUUGGCCUAAAUAGCUUUGCCAUAUAUAUAAAUGCUUUGGGUAAAUGCAGUUAUUUAAUAGUUUAAAUCUAGCCUCAUUUUGAUAAUAGAGCAUUGUUCAACUAUGAAAUGACUAAGUACCCUUUUCAUAUGUCCUGUGAGAAACACAAUAAGUUGAAUGUUGUGCUUACAUAGUGUCUGUUUCCUGAGCAGUCAGUUCAGAGCAAGCUCCGUGCAUUUCAUUAAUCUCAGCAUCCUCAAGAUAACACAAAAAUCCUCCUACUUUCUGGGCUUUUCUCCUGUGAUCUCUUCUCCUCAUUCCUGAAAGGCCUUCAGCUCCUGCUUCUCACAACUAACUUUCCUACUUUUCCCCUACUUGCUUUCCUCCUUCCUUCCUUUGUCUUUUUCUUUUUGGAAUAACUGCCUCCUUUAAUAGAGUCUGAUUUACUGGACAGGUCACAUGCCAACGCAUCAUCUGAGGACCACCGGGGAGCUAAGCAUCGGUUUCUGGUUGUGUAGCUUUCAUAACUACACUAUCCAUUGGAACGUAUAAAUCACAUUCAGGUCAGGUAGGGAAGAAGUUUCCAUCAGUGUCAUUUGUUAAAAAAAAAGAUCAGGGUAAGAAUCUAAAUAUAUAGUAGUAUAUACUAGUACAUAUGCUUUUAGCAAAAGAAAAUCAUUACAAUAGAGAACAAGAUUUAAAGCACCAGGUACACACUGACACAGUAUUUCCAAAAAACUCACUGGGAUUUAUUCCUUCUCAACCUGUCUUUGUUUUUGUUUGCUUGCUUUUUGUCUAAUGAACUUUUUAUUUUAGAAAGGUUUUAGAUUUAUAGAAACAUUGUAAAGGUAACAGAGAGUUCUCAUACCCUCCACACUCAUUUUCCCCUAUUAUUAAUCCCUUCUAUUCAUACAAUGCACUUAUCACAAUUAAUGAAUCAAUACCGAUACAUUAUUACUAACUGAAGCCUAUACUUUACUCAUACUUGCUUGGUUUUUACCUGAUUCCUUUUUUUUCUGUUCCAAAAUUCCAUCCAGGAUAAUAUGCUACAUUUAUUUGUCAUUUCUUCUUGGGUUCCUUCUGGUUUAGAUGGUUUCUCAAACUUUGUUUUUAAGGGCUUUACUGUUUUGAGGAUUAGUACUCAAGAUACUUUUUAAAACAUCUCUUAAUUGCCA